Molecule: ribosomal RNA, 253 nt
Filed under: uncultured bacterium
Lineage: Bacteria
Description: partial 16S ribosomal RNA
Rfam family: Bacterial small subunit ribosomal RNA
Source: RNAcentral
UACGUAGGGUGCAAGCGUUAAUCGGAAUUACUGGGCGUAAAGCGUGCGCAGGCGGUUUUGUAAGUCAGAGGUGAAAUCCCCGGGCUUAACCUGGGAACUGCCUUUGUGACUGCAAGGCUUGAGUGCGGCAGAGGGGGAUGGAAUUCCGCGUGUAGCAGUGAAAUGCGUAGAUAUGCGGAGGAACACCGAUGGCGAAGGCAAUCCCCUGGGCCUGCACUGACGCUCAUGCACGAAAGCGUGGGGAGCAAACAGG